Small nuclear RNA from Ictidomys tridecemlineatus (thirteen-lined ground squirrel), 103 nucleotides. The record is from Ensembl. NCBI's taxonomy places the organism in Eukaryota, Metazoa, Chordata, Mammalia, Rodentia, Sciuridae.
UGCUCCCUUCGGACGCACAUGUAUAAAAUUGGAAUGAUAUAGAGAAGAUUACCAAUGGCUCCUGCACUAGGAUGACAUGCAAAUUUAUUUGUUCCAUAUUUAA